RNAcentral lists this ribosomal RNA (160 nucleotides) under uncultured bacterium. RNAcentral's name for it is "partial 16S ribosomal RNA". It matches the Rfam family "Bacterial small subunit ribosomal RNA", at positions 355 to 507 of the family's 1533-position model. The record is from RNAcentral.
UGGGGAAUUUUGGACAAUGGGCGAAAGCCUGAUCCAGCAAUACCGCGUGCAGGAAGAAGGCCUUCGGGUUGUAAACUGCUUUUGUACGGAACGAAAAGGUCUGCCUUAAUACGGUGGGCUCAUGACGGUACCGUAAGAAUAAGCACCGGCUAACUACGUG